This 77-nucleotide transfer RNA is filed under the name Burkholderiales bacterium. RNAcentral's name for it is "tRNA-Asn". It matches the Rfam family "tRNA". From Rfam's summary of the family: Transfer RNA (tRNA) molecules are approximately 80 nucleotides in length. Their secondary structure includes four short double-helical elements and three loops (D, anti-codon, and T loops). Further hydrogen bonds mediate the characteristic L-shaped molecular structure. tRNAs have two regions of fundamental functional importance: the anti-codon, which is responsible for specific mRNA codon recognition, and the 3' end, to which the tRNAs corresponding amino acid is attached (by aminoacyl-tRNA synthetases). tRNAs cope with the degeneracy of the genetic code in two manners: having more than one tRNA (with a specific anti-codon) for a particular amino acid; and 'wobble' base-pairing, i.e. permitting non-standard base-pairing at the 3rd anti-codon position. The record is from RNAcentral. RNAcentral also lists the same sequence under 3 other names. Lineage: Bacteria; Pseudomonadati; Pseudomonadota; Betaproteobacteria; Burkholderiales.
UCCCCGGUAGCUCAGCUGGUUAGAGCGGGUGACUGUUAAUCACUAGGUCGUUGGUUCGAGUCCAACCCGGGGAGCCA